GAUGAAGAACGUAGCGAAAUGCGAUAAGUAAUGUGAAUUGCAGAAUUCAGUGAAUCAUCGAAUCUUUGAACGCACAUUGCGCCCGCUAGUAUUCUGGCGGGCAUGCCUGUUCGAGCGUCAUUUCAACCCUCAAGCUCUGCUUGGUGUUGGGAAUCGGCGUAGCGGCCUUCGGGCAGCUGCCGUUCCCUAAAUCUAGUGGCGGUCCCGCUGUAGCCUCCUCUGCGUAGUAGUUUUCUCCUCGCACCGGCAGCUUAGUGGUGACCUCGCCGUAAAACCCCCAACUUCUGAAAGGUUGACCUCGAAUCAGGUAGGAAUACCCGCUGAACUUAAGCAUAUCAAUAAGCGGAGGA
RNAcentral lists this unclassified non-coding RNA (350 nucleotides) under soil metagenome. Its description in RNAcentral is "partial contains 5.8S ribosomal RNA, internal transcribed spacer 2, and large subunit ribosomal RNA". The stretch from base 1 to 120 matches the Rfam family "5.8S ribosomal RNA", at positions 35 to 154 of the family's 154-position model. The record is from RNAcentral.